AGUGAAUAGAUACCCUGGUAGUCCACGCCUUAAACGAUGAGAGCUAGUUGUCAGUAAGCAUGCUUAUUGGUGACGCAGCUAACGCAUUAAGCUCUCCGCCUGGGGAGUACGGCCGCAAGGUUAAAACUCAAAGAAAUUGACGGGGCCGGCCACAAGCGGUGGAGCAUGUGGUUUAAGUUUACGAAGCAACGCGCAGAACCUUACCCACCUUUGUACAUCCCGUCGCUAUCUAGAGAGAUCUAGAGUCCCUUCCGGGGUCGGCGGAGACAGGUGCUGCAUGGCUGUCGUCAGCUCGUGUCGUGAGAUGUUGGGUUUAAGUCCCGCAACGAGCGCAACCCUCGCUUCUAGUUGCCAGCAUUUAGUUGGGUCACUCUAGAGGAACUGCCUGCGCCAAGCAGGAGGAAGGCGGGGAGUGACGUCAAGUCCUCAUGGCCCUUACAGGUGGGGCUACACACGUGCUACAAUGG
Molecule: ribosomal RNA, 467 nt
Filed under: uncultured bacterium
Lineage: Bacteria
Description: bacterial SSU rRNA
Rfam family: Bacterial small subunit ribosomal RNA
Source: RNAcentral